UAGCCAUCCAGAAGCUAAAUCCUUAAGCAAUGUUGACAAGAGGCUGAUGAAGAGGGGCCCAGGGGCUCCUUCAAAUAUGUGGAAGCCAGGACCUUUCUAACGGGAAGCAUCAGAGGUACCAAGAAUACGACUCUGUGUUACUGGUUAGGCUGAGAGAGACUACAGAAUUUGCUGCAGUUCACGGAGCCAUGGGUGGCUGAACCAGCAGUCAAGGCCAGACGAGACUGACUUUCCACUAGAAGGCACCACCUGUCCACAAAGACAAGCACACCUUCAUGCCUUCGGCUAGCUUCUGAUAGCAUCUUACAGUUCUGGAAAGGAAGUGCUUGAAAAAAUCACAAGGAUGGAGAAAUGUCAGCUGGACACAGGAGCUAACUGAAAGAAUUCCCAGGGGCCAAAGCUGGAGCCAUUUGAGUGCCCAAAUGUAUCAUAUAGUAUCAGGUUAUAAUCCAAAUUAUAAAAUAAAUGCUAAUGA
Ailuropoda melanoleuca (giant panda) is the source of this 475-nucleotide long non-coding RNA. RefSeq lists it as uncharacterized. The transcript is spliced from 3 exons. NCBI's taxonomy places the organism in Eukaryota, Metazoa, Chordata, Mammalia, Carnivora, Ursidae. The record is from RefSeq and is a predicted model, not a curated record.